This 75-nucleotide transfer RNA is filed under the name Candidatus Saccharibacteria bacterium 32-50-13. RNAcentral's name for it is "tRNA-Trp". It matches the Rfam family "tRNA". Rfam says of the family: Transfer RNA (tRNA) molecules are approximately 80 nucleotides in length. Their secondary structure includes four short double-helical elements and three loops (D, anti-codon, and T loops). The record is from RNAcentral. Lineage: Bacteria; Candidatus Saccharimonadota.
AGGGGCAUAGUACAGCGGUUAGUAUUCUGGUCUCCAAAACCAGCGACCUAGGUUCGAUUCCUAGUGCCCCUGCCA